GUCCACGCCCUAACGAUGUCAACUGGUUGUCGGGAAGCAAUUCCUUGGUAACGAAGCUAACGCGUGAAGUUGACCGCCUGGGAGUACGGCCGCAAGGUUAAACUCAAAGGAAUUGACGGGACCCGCACAAGCGGUGGAUUAUGUGGAUUAAUUCGAUGCAACGCGAAACCUUACCUACCCUUGACAUGUACGGAACCUCGCAGAGAUGUGAGGGUGCCCGAAAGGGAGCCGUAACACAGGUGCUGCAUGGCUGUCGU
Molecule: ribosomal RNA, 257 nt
Filed under: uncultured bacterium
Lineage: Bacteria
Description: partial 16S ribosomal RNA
Rfam family: Bacterial small subunit ribosomal RNA
Source: RNAcentral